GGCCUGAUGGUCUAGUGGUAUGAUUGUCGCUUCGGGUUUUAACGCCUGGCUGCUUUGCGGCUAAAAUGUGACAGGCCCCGGGUUCGAAUCCCGGUCAGGCCC
This is a non-coding RNA of Melanomma pulvis-pyrius CBS 109.77, 102 nucleotides long. The record is from the annotation of a GenBank genome assembly. NCBI's taxonomy places the organism in Eukaryota, Fungi, Ascomycota, Dothideomycetes, Pleosporales, Melanommataceae.